GAUGAAGAACGUAGCGAAACGCGAUAGUUAAUGUGAAUUGCAGAAUUCAGUGAAUCAUCGAGUCUUUGAACGCACAUUGCGCCCCUCGGUAUUCCGGAGGGCAUGUCUGUUUGAGCGUCAUUUCAACCCUCAAGCUCUGCUUGGUGUUGGGCCCCGCCGCCCCGGCGGGCCCUAAAGUCAGUGGCGGUGCCGUCCGGCUCCGAGCGUAGUAAUUUUUCUCGCUUUGGAGGCCCGGGCGCGUGCUUGCCAUCAACCCCCAAUUUUUUUCAGGUUGACCUCGGAUCAGGUAGGGAUACCCGCUGAACUUAAGCAUAUCAAUAAGCGGAGGA
Molecule: unclassified non-coding RNA, 329 nt
Filed under: soil metagenome
Description: partial contains 5.8S ribosomal RNA, internal transcribed spacer 2, and large subunit ribosomal RNA
Rfam family: 5.8S ribosomal RNA (bases 1-120)
Source: RNAcentral